RNAcentral lists this ribosomal RNA (484 nucleotides) under uncultured bacterium. RNAcentral's name for it is "partial 16S ribosomal RNA". It matches the Rfam family "Bacterial small subunit ribosomal RNA", at positions 30 to 507 of the family's 1533-position model. The record is from RNAcentral.
AUUGAACGCUGGCGGCAGGCCUAACACAUGCAAGUCGAGCGGAUGAAGGGAGCUUGCUCCUGGAUUCAGCGGCGGACGGGUGAGUAAUGCCUAGGAAUCUGCCUGGUAGUGGGGGAUAACGUCCGGAAACGGGCGCUAAUACCGCAUACGUCCUGAGGGAGAAAGUGGGGGAUCUUCGGACCUCACGCUAUCAGAUGAGCCUAGGUCGGAUUAGCUAGUUGGUGGGGUAAAGGCCUACCAAGGCGACGAUCCGUAACUGGUCUGAGAGGAUGAUCAGUCACACUGGAACUGAGACACGGUCCAGACUCCUACGGGAUGCAGCAGUGGGGAAUAUUGGACAAUGGGCGAAAGCCUGAUCCAGCCAUGCCGCGUGUGUGAAGAAGGUCUUCGGAUUGUAAAGCACCUUAAGUUGGGAGGAAGGGCAGUAAGUUAAUACCUUGCUGUUUUGACGUUACCAACAGAAUAAGCACCGGCUAACUUCGUG